This 69-nucleotide transfer RNA is filed under the name Notonecta chinensis. RNAcentral describes it as "tRNA-Gln". Lineage: Eukaryota; Metazoa; Arthropoda; Insecta; Hemiptera; Notonectidae. The record is from RNAcentral. RNAcentral also lists the same sequence under 2 other names.
UAUAUUUUAGUGUAUGAAGCACUAAGAAUUUUGAUUUCUUAAGAUUUAGUUUAAUUCUAAAAAAUAUAA